CCUACGGGGCGCAGCAGUGAGGAAUAUUGGUCAAUGGGCGCGAGCCUGAUCCAGCCAAGUAGCGUGAAGGAUGACUGCCCUACGGGUUGUAAACUUCUUUUAUAAAGGAAUAAAGUGCGGCACGUUUGCCUUUUUGUAUGUACUUUCUGAAUAAGGAUCGGCUAACUCCGUGCCAGCAGCCGCGGUACUACGGAGGAUCCGAGCGUUAUCCGGAUUUAUUGGGUUUACAGUGCGCGUAGAUGGGUUUUUAAGUCAGUUGUGAAAGUUUGCGGCUCAAACGUAAAAUUGAAAUUGAUACUGGCAGCCGUGAGUACAGUUGAGGUAGGGGGAAUUCGUGGGGUAGCGGUGAAAUGCGUAGAUAUUAGGAGGAACACCAGUGGCGAAGGCGGCUUACUGGACGGUAACUGACGUUGAGGCUCGAAAGCGUGGGGAGCAAACAGGAUUAGAUACCCGAGUAGUC
Molecule: ribosomal RNA, 460 nt
Filed under: uncultured bacterium
Lineage: Bacteria
Description: partial 16S ribosomal RNA
Rfam family: Bacterial small subunit ribosomal RNA
Source: RNAcentral